UUCUUGGCCCUACAGAGGAGAAGGUUCAUGCACAGGGAGAGGUGUACAAUCCCCCCAAGAAGAACAUUGUAGGAUCUAGAAUUGAUAAAGAUAAUGACGCUUUCCCGAGUUGCAGUAUGAGGAUAUCGCAAUGGGUCUUAAUGAAGAGCUCUCAAAAGUGUAUGAAGCUAUUAAAGCUAAGAAACAAGCAUAGAAAAAAAACAGAGAAAUUAUCCCAGAUAUACUUUAAUUUAAGUUUAAUUGAAAAAAAAUCCUAAACUUUCGUUUAUCUCGUC
Molecule: long non-coding RNA, 275 nt
Filed under: Amborella trichopoda
Lineage: Eukaryota; Viridiplantae; Streptophyta; Magnoliopsida; Amborellales; Amborellaceae
Description: long non-coding RNA (ATRI_LNC005419)
Source: RNAcentral